RNAcentral lists this ribosomal RNA (440 nucleotides) under uncultured bacterium. RNAcentral describes it as "partial 16S ribosomal RNA". It matches the Rfam family "Bacterial small subunit ribosomal RNA", at positions 338 to 795 of the family's 1533-position model. The record is from RNAcentral.
CCUACGGGAGGCAGCAGUGGGGAAUAUUGCACAAUGGGCGAAACUCUGAUGCAGCAACGCCGCGUGAGUGAAGAAGUAUUUCGGUAUGUAAAGCUCUAUUAGCAGGGAAGAGAAUGACGGUACCUAACUGAGCAGCCCCGGCUAACUACGUGCCAGCAGCCGAGGUAAUACGUAGGGGGCGAGCGUUAUCCGGAUUUACUGGGGGUAAAGGGAGCGUAGGCGGUUCUGCAAGUCUGAAGUGAAAGCCCGUGGCUUAACCGGGGAACGGCUUUGGAAACUGUGGGACUGGAGUGCAGGAGAGGCGAGCGGAAUUCCUAGUGUAGCGGUGAAAUGCGUAGAUAUAAGGAGGAACACCAGUGGCGAAGGCGGCUUGCUGGACAGUAACUGACGUUGAGGCUCGAAAGCGUGGGGAGCAAACAGGAUUAGAUACCCCAGUAGUC